This 1348-nucleotide ribosomal RNA is filed under the name uncultured bacterium. RNAcentral's name for it is "bacterial SSU rRNA". It matches the Rfam family "Bacterial small subunit ribosomal RNA", at positions 28 to 1369 of the family's 1533-position model. The record is from RNAcentral.
GAUGAACGCUAGCGGCAGGCUUAACACAUGCAAGUCGAGGGGCAUCGGGAGGGAAGCUUGCUUUCCUUGCCGGCGACCGGCGCACGGGAGAGUAACACGUAUGCAACCUGCCCUCUUCAGGGGGACAACCUUCCGAAAGGGAGGCUAAUCCCGCGUAUAUCGGUUUCGGGCAUCCGUUAUCGAGGAAAGAUUCAUCGGAAGAGGAUGGGCAUGCGGCGCAUUAGCUUGACGGCGGGGUAACGGCCCACCGUGGCGACGAUGCGUAGGGGUUCUGAGAGGAAGGUCCCCCACACUGGUACUGAGACACGGACCAGACUCCUACGGGAGGCAGCAGUGAGGAAUAUUGGUCAAUGGGAGAGAUCCUGAACCAGCCAAGCCGCGUGAGGGAAGACGGCCCUAUGGGUUGUAAACCUCUUUUGUCGGAGAACAAAACCCGGGACGAGUCCCGGACUGCGUGUAUCCGAAGAAAAAGCAUCGGCUAACUCCGUGCCAGCAGCCGCGGUAAUACGGAGGAUGCGAGCGUUAUCCGGAUUUAUUGGGUUUAAAGGGUGCGUAGGCGGUCCGUUAAGUCAGCGGUAAAAUUGCGGGGCCCAACCCCGUCGAGCCGUUGGAACUGGCAGACUUGAGUUGGCGAGAAGUACGCGGAAUGCGCGGUGUAGCGGUGAAAUGCAUAGAUAUCGCGCAGAACUCCGAUUGCGAAGGCAGCGUACCGGCGCCAGACUGACGCUGAGGCACGAAAGCGUGGGGAUCGAACAGGAUUAGAUACCCUGGUAGUCCACGCAGUAAACGAUGAAUGCUGGUUGUCCGGGUCGAAUGAGACCUGGGCGGCGAAGCGAAAGCGAUAAGCAUUCCACCUGGGGAGUACGCCGGCAACGGUGAAACUCAAAGGAAUUGACGGGGGCCCGCACAAGCGGAGGAACAUGUGGUUUAAUUCGAUGAUACGCGAGGAACCUUACCCGGGCUCAAACGGGAGUGGAAUGGACCAGAGACGGUUCAGCCUACGGGCCGCUUCCGAGGUGCUGCAUGGUUGUCGUCAGCUCGUGCCGUGAGGUGUCGGCUUAAGUGCCAUAACGAGCGCAACCCCCGCCGGCAGUUGCUAACGGGCAAUGCCGAGGACUCUGCCGGGACUGCCGCCGCAAGGCGUGAGGAAGGCGGGGAUGACGUCAAAUCAGCACGGCCCUUACGUCCGGGGCGACACACGUGUUACAAUGGGCGGUACAGCGGGAAGCCAGGCGGCGACGCCGAGCGGAACCCGAAAGCCGUUCUCAGUUCGGAUCGGAGUCUGCAACCCGACUCCGUGAAGCUGGAUUCGCUAGUAAUCGCGCAUCAGCCAUGGCGCGGUGAAUAC